RNAcentral lists this long non-coding RNA (481 nucleotides) under Oryza sativa Indica Group (long-grained rice). RNAcentral's name for it is "lncRNA OsZS97_08G024470". Lineage: Eukaryota; Viridiplantae; Streptophyta; Magnoliopsida; Poales; Poaceae. The record is from RNAcentral.
CCCACACCGUGUGGGCUGCUUGCAGAGAAACCAGAAGCAGAAGCAGACACAGACCUCGUCGCCUCCAGAUCGACGGCGACGACGGCGGCGGCGGCGGGUGCCACCGCCAACGCCGAGGCAGAGAGCGGCAAUGGCGAUGAGCCGCGCCCACCCGUCUGCAUGGGGAAGGAGGCGGCGGCGGAGGAGGGGGAGGAGAUCCGCAUCCGCUCCAGCUUGACCAGGCAAGCUUUCCUCGACGCCCUCCCCUCCCAUCCCCUCCGCCGCCAUGCGUGUCGGAUCGAACUGCUUCUCCGUGAGAUUUACAGAGGAACGCCAUUUUCUGGAGGAUGCAUAAGUGCAACCUGCAGCACAUUGCGAGUUCAGAAACCAGAAAUGCGCAAGAGUUCAGAAAGGCAUAUGGCCAUGAUCCAAAUCAGAUCCAAGGUACACGUGCAACGACUUGACUUGGAGGCAGCUUCAGUCCGUACGUAGAAAUAAAGCU